AGCCGAGAUAGCUCAGUCGGUAGAG
Molecule: transfer RNA, 25 nt
Filed under: Hymenasplenium wangpeishanii
Lineage: Eukaryota; Viridiplantae; Streptophyta; Polypodiopsida; Polypodiales; Aspleniaceae
Description: partial tRNA-Phe
Source: RNAcentral